GGGGCUGCAGUGGCAAUCGACAGAAGUACUUUAAAAUUAUAAAGACUGUAAGUCGGAGAGAAAACUCCGUAACUCGCCAAAAUUUUGCUUUCGCAAAACCUAAGCGGGUGAAAAAACAAGGCAAUAUAACUGCCAAUCUAAAAGAAAAAGUUAAGGCUGCUUUCAGUGGUCUUAGCUUCUCUCCAGCCGUAGCUUAAAUCUAAGCUACCCGUCUUUACUUUUUAGCCCGGUAAAAUUUAAUGACGACAAACAUCCGGGAUGCAGGGGUCGUUUUCUUGUGGCGGCGCUUAAAGACAAAAGCAGGAUCGGUAGAAAGAAUUUUGUCUAAUUUGUAAAUCUACCUAAACUAAAAUUAGUCUAAGCUUGCUAAACCUUUAUAGUUUUUACUUUUGGACGCGGGUUCGACUCCCGCCAGCUCCACCA
Molecule: transfer-messenger RNA, 423 nt
Filed under: Patescibacteria group
Lineage: Bacteria
Also listed under: 4 other names
Description: GWC2-39-10 sp001872945 Standard tmRNA
Rfam family: transfer-messenger RNA
About the family: Bacterial tmRNA, also known as 10Sa RNA or SsrA, is named for its dual tRNA and mRNA-like properties. Its role is to liberate the mRNA from a stalled ribosome.
Source: RNAcentral